RNAcentral lists this ribosomal RNA (443 nucleotides) under uncultured bacterium. Its description in RNAcentral is "partial 16S ribosomal RNA". It matches the Rfam family "Bacterial small subunit ribosomal RNA", at positions 338 to 795 of the family's 1533-position model. The record is from RNAcentral.
CCUACGGGCGGCAGCAGUGGGGAAUAUUGGGCAAUGGGCGCAAGCCUGACCCAGCAACGCCGCGUGAAGGAAGAAGGCUUUCGGGUUGUAAACUUCUUUUCUCAGGGACGAAGCAAGUGACGGUAACUGAGGAAUAAGCCACGGUUAACUACGUGCCAGCAGCCGCGGUAAUACGGCGGUGGCAAGCGUUAUCCGGAUUUACUGGUUGUAAAGGGCGUGUAGGCGGGAAAGCAAGUCAGAUGUGAAAACCAUGGGCUCAACCUGUGGCCUGCAUUUGAAACUGUUUGUCUUGAGUACUGGAGAGGCAGACGGAAGUCCUAGUGUAGCGGUGAAAUGCGUAGAUAUUAGGAGGAACACCAGUGGCGAAGGCGGUCUGCUGGACAGCAACUGACGCUGAGGCGCGAAAGCGUGGGGAGCAAACAGGAUUAGAUACCCUAGUAGUC